This 423-nucleotide ribosomal RNA is filed under the name uncultured bacterium. RNAcentral's name for it is "bacterial SSU rRNA". It matches the Rfam family "Bacterial small subunit ribosomal RNA", at positions 207 to 622 of the family's 1533-position model. The record is from RNAcentral.
AAGACCUUGCGCUUUUGGAGCGGCCGAUGCCUGAUUAGCUUGUUGGUAAGGUAAAAGCUUACCAAGGCUUCGAUCAGUAGCUGGUCUGAGAGGACGGCCAGCCACACUGGGACUGAGACACGGCCCAGACUCCUACGGGAGGCAGCAGUGGGGAAUUUUGGACAAUGGGGGCAACCCUGAUCCAGCCAUGCCGCGUGAGUGAAGAAGGCCUUCGGGUUGUAAAGCUCUUUCAGUUGAGAAGAAAAAAUCACGACUAAUAAUUGUGAUUCAUGACGGUAUCAACAGAAGAAGCACCGGCUAACUACGUGCCAGCAGCCGCGGUAAUACGUAGGGUGCAAGCGUUAAUCGGAAUUACUGGGCGUAAAGGGUGCGCAGGCGGUUUUGUAAGUCAGAUGUGAAAUCCCCGGGCUUAACCUGGGAACU